AGAGUUUGAUCAUGGCUCAGGAUGAACGCUAGCGGCAGGCUUAACACAUGCAAGUCGAGGGGCAGCACUUGUAGCAAUACAUGGUGGCGACCGGCGCAAGGGUGCGUAACGCGUGAGCAACAUGCCCGUAUCAGGGGGAUAAUCCAGGGAAACUUGGUCUAAUACCCCAUAGCAAUUAUUUGAGGCAUCUUAAAUAAUUUAAAGCUUUGGUGGAUACGGAUUGGCUCGCGUGACAUUAGCUAGUUGGUGAGGUAACGGCUCACCAAGGCAAUGAUCUUUAGGGGCCUGAGAGGGUGAUCCCCCACACUGGUACUGAGACACGGACCAGACUCCUACGGGAGGCAGCAGUGAGGAAUAUUGGUCAAUGGGUGCAAGCCUGAACCAGCCAUCCCGCGUGAAGGACGACUGCCCUAUGGGUUGUAAACUUCUUUUGUAUAGGGAUAAACCUUUCCACGUGUGGAAAGCUGAAGGUACUAUACGAAUAAGCACCGGCUAACUCCGUG
RNAcentral lists this ribosomal RNA (503 nucleotides) under uncultured bacterium. RNAcentral describes it as "bacterial SSU rRNA". It matches the Rfam family "Bacterial small subunit ribosomal RNA", at positions 8 to 507 of the family's 1533-position model. The record is from RNAcentral.